CGCCUGUUUAUCAAAAACAUCGCCUCUUGUUCAAUUAUAGGAGGUCCAGCCUGCCCAGUGACUUUGUUCAACGGCCGCGGUAUCCUAACCGUGCGAAGGUAGCGUAAUCACUUGUUCUUUAAAUGAGGACUAGUAUGAAUGGCCCCACGAGGGCUGCACUGUCUCCUUUUUCUAAUCAAUGAAACUAAUCUCCCCGUGAAGAAGCGGGAAUUAUCCUAUAAGACGAGAAGACCCUAUGGAGCUUUAAACAAUUGAAACAUUUGCUUUUCUCCUAACUCCUCCCGAGCUCUUUAUUUUUAUUUAAGCAUUAUUAUUUCUAGUUUUAGGUUGGGGUGACCACGGAGCAAAACUAAACCUCCAUGAAGAAAUGAAUAUUUUUAAGCCACAAACUACUUUUUUAAGCAUCAACAAAUUGACCUUCAUUGACCCAAUAUAUUGAUCAACGAACCAAGUUACCCUAGGGAUAACAGCGCAAUCUACUUCAAGAGCUCAUAUCGACAAGUAGGUUUACGACCUCGAUGUUGGAUCAGGGUAUCCUAGUGGUGCAGCCACUACUAAUGGUUCGUUUGUUCAACGAUUAAAACCCU
Molecule: ribosomal RNA, 587 nt
Filed under: Ameerega trivittata (three-striped poison frog)
Lineage: Eukaryota; Metazoa; Chordata; Amphibia; Anura; Dendrobatidae
Description: partial large subunit ribosomal RNA
Rfam family: Bacterial large subunit ribosomal RNA
Source: RNAcentral